Long non-coding RNA from Columba livia (rock pigeon), 1668 nucleotides. RefSeq lists it as uncharacterized. The record is from RefSeq and is a predicted model, not a curated record. Lineage: Eukaryota; Metazoa; Chordata; Aves; Columbiformes; Columbidae. The transcript has 6 exons.
UUCCUGUAAAUAAGAGCAAUUAAUAAUAAUGUUUUGUUAACGAAAGACACAGAAACAUCAGACAUUUCUAUUCAGAAAAGUUGCAGUUUAGAAAAUAUCAUAAUUCAUCAUGUGGAAAUGAUGCAAUGAAAAUUACAAUAGCAAUUUUUAUAGAUUUAUAUUAAAAUGAAGUUGCAAUUUUACCAAUUCAUUUUAAUAACAUUUUUCUAGCACUGAAGAAAUAUAAGCAUUAUUAAUGAUGUGAGAUACUCUGCAUGCUUAACUUAUUAGUCUGUUUUCCCUGGGACAGUUUUAUUUAGUAUUUAUUUUUUUACUCCGUUGUGUUGCUAAGGAGCAGUUCAGCUAUUUUAUUUCUUUACAAUGGUGAAAAGAGAACAAGGUGUGAAGAAAGCCUCCCAUUUAUUCAUCCACGUCUUGCAAAUGCUACAGUCUAUCUGAACUAAAUAUAUUCAAAAUCUCGAAUAAAAUGUCAUAUAAACCCCAAGCUAUUUAAAAAUGGUGCUUUUCAAGCUUGAUGUGAGAAAGUUAAAUACUUUAAAAAUAUUUUUUGGCUUAUGACUGCGAUUUUUAAAAAGGGUGCAGCCACAGAGCUGUAAAAGUUAAAACCAAAAGGUGGAUAUAAGAUAAGGAAGUCUGUUUGCCCUUUAGAGGAAUUCUAGUUAAACUGUACAAGCAUAUUUUAAAAGAUUAUUUAAUCAUGACCAAUGCUGACACACAAAAAUUCAAGUGGGAACUGUGCCAUUUUAGACUAAAGUGUUUUUCCUCUCACAGCACAGAAGCUAAAUCAAACAGCACAUUUAACCUUAAUUCUGAGCUGAUAAUUAACAUUCUCCCCUCUUCCUCUGCUGACACUUGAGUCGUGCUGCAGGUCAUAGUUCCCCUCAUAUACUCAGGGGUACCAUUUGUGGUUUGUCAGCCAGCGUUGAGGAAUCUGCCACGGACCAUGAGACCACUGGUUUCUUUCAGCUGUAUCCUGUUACCCUGUUCUUUGGAAAAUGGCCUCAGGCUGCCCUGUGCUUGGUUUUGUCUUAGAGAUCUCCUCAAGGUCUCUCCAGAUGACACUGAAGAAUUUGAGGGUAUAUUUGAAUUUUUUUAACACCCACUUGAACUUCCUGUAGUACUUUGUUCCAGAUCCACCACUUGCUCUGAAAAGCAUCAAUCACACACCAGUUCUGAUGCUCCUUCUUAUAUGAAAUUGUUCGACAGUGACAACAUGGGAAUCACUGCCUAUGAAGGGACUGGCAUGCCUGGAAAAAAAUCCCCAAAACCCAAACAAGACUCUUACCCAGUGGUGUUACACACAGGAUUCAUCAGAGCCACAUCGAGAGCCUGGAUGGCCAGUUCAUCAGGAACCCGUUGUUUUCUAUUGUCAUCAGGAGCCAUUUUGAUGCCUACACUGUUCAUUAGAAGUUUGGACCCUAGGAUCCAUAGCACAGUUUAAAUUUCUGUGCAGAGUGUCAUAGUUGGAAACACAGACACAUACACUGUACAGUACCUAUGAAGUCAGCCUAUGGGAAAUGCAGAUCAGCUCAACAGCCCAUGCUUAGGGAAUCCAGGAUACAACAACAAUACGACGUGGAGGAAGAAAGCGGUCAAGAACAUCACUUUCUUCUACUUGAAUAUAAACCGCAACAUCAGGACAGAGUCCUCGUUCUGACAAAUACUGGG